ACGUAGGGGACAAGCGUUGUCCGGAUUUACUGGGCGUAAAGGGCACGCAGGCGGUUUUUUAAGUCAGAUGUGAAAUGCCCCGGCUCAACCGGGGAACUGCCUUUGAAACUGCAAGACUUGAGUAUUGGAGAGGGAAGUGGAAUUCCGAGUGUAGCGGUGAAAUGCGUAGAUAUUAGGAGGAACACCGAUGGCGAAGGCGGCUUGCUGGACAAGUACUGACGCUGAGGCGCGAAAGCGUGGGGAGCAAACAG
RNAcentral lists this ribosomal RNA (251 nucleotides) under uncultured prokaryote. RNAcentral describes it as "partial 16S rRNA". It matches the Rfam family "Bacterial small subunit ribosomal RNA", at positions 525 to 775 of the family's 1533-position model. The record is from RNAcentral.